This is a long non-coding RNA of Dromaius novaehollandiae (emu), 3567 nucleotides long. RefSeq lists it as uncharacterized. The transcript has 3 exons. The record is from RefSeq and is a predicted model, not a curated record. NCBI's taxonomy places the organism in Eukaryota, Metazoa, Chordata, Aves, Casuariiformes, Dromaiidae.
GGGGUUGUUCCUGCGCGAGGUCGGGGGAGGUGUGUGUGCGCGCGGGGCGCCGUGGUAACUGUCGUCCUGGGCAGUGCCAGACAGGAUGGGGCCUCAUCUGGGCGGACGCGGGGGGCGGCGGGUUUGCUCUCCUUACUGGGUUAGCUAGGGGGAACCCGACUCCACGGGAGAUCCCCGUUCCUGGAGGUAACCGGUGCUGGCCAUAGGGCAGCCUCUGUCCCGGGCUGGAGCAUCGGUUGCCUCCUAGCUCUGCCGCCGAAAACUACUUGCUCGCCCUGCCUGCGUGGUGGGCUGAGGCUCGCUGCCUCAAGCGUUGUCUGCAGUCGCUAGUGAUAUGUUUGCUGUCAGCUACCACCCUUGCAGAUCAUGACAGAGAAUGAAUCAAGAACUGAGUGGACAGUGGAGAUCAAACCACCCCACUCAAUCCAGCCAUUUAAGCAGGCCUCUCCGCCUUUGCCAUAAGAUGUCGAAAUGACCCCAUGUAAAGAAAUUGCAUACUUCUAUGGAAAUAAAAUUUUCAUUUGGUACAGCAGUAAACUAACAUUAAUAUUCAAGACAUAUAACCAAUUUUGGAAAGUUAUUUUAUGUACUUAUUGUAGAGUGCCCUCUCUAUUCAAGAGCAGAGAGACAAAAGGAGGAGGAAGGAGCAAGAGAAGAAGCAGGAGAGUGCUGCACAAGAAACAGAGGAAGGUAUAUGGAACAUUGUGCAUUUUCUGAAACACCAAAUCUGAUUGACCACAAAAUCCAAGCAGUCUUCUUCAGACCACACAGCACACAUCUGUGGGCAAAUUUGCUUACUGUGUAUUUUACCCCCGACAUCUCCUACACAGAUGCUACAGCCAGUCUCCAAAUACAUUCCUCUCUGAACAGAAAGCAGAAUCAGAAGUUCACUGACUUUGUAGCAUUAGCUUUUGUGGCUUUUGUUCACCUCAUCUCUCACCUCUUGUUUGAAGAUGCAAAUCUGAAAACUAUUGUUAAUAUUAACUAGACUCUUCAGAUCUUCUGUUUUGUCCUGUUGGUUCCAUUUGGGCUUUAUAUUUCUCUAAAAUGCUUUUAUUCUUCUCUCAGGAUCCUCACUCUUUUUUUCUAUUGUUUGAUACUACUGUUAAUUAAAAUUUUGAUCUCCAUAACCAGAAACUGCCAUAGGAGCAUGCUUCAGAUUACCUAUAAAAGAGGAAAAUCACUGCAAAAUGUACAAAUGCAUGAGGCGCAGAUAUGAUGAGAUGCAUCUAACUCCCUCAAGACUUCUAGGACUUUUGAGUGUAAGAGCAGGCUAAAAACUAAGAAGGCUAGAACUCUCCUAGCAUUCAUCUACCUGUUGGUCAAUACACCUCUGUAUCACAUAUAAAACCAUGCCUCAGACUACCCAGUAUUAGUCAGAUUGCUCCAAGGUGGUCAGUGCUGCUUACUCUAGAGCCAAUUUGUCAGCAGCAGGUUAUUAGUAUUAGGAAUGUUUGUAUUGCACAAUGGUUCUGUCAACAUUUGCAGAUUUAUAUUAUGUGACUGAAGCAGCAACACUGUUGGUAUCUUGUGCAGAAGAUUGUCAAUCAUAGGACUUCAUCUCUAAACACGUAGUAUCACCAGAUUCCUAUUUAGAUCACCAGGAUCCAGAGGUUUUUUUCUUGCCACUUCUCCUACUGUGAUGGAGUUUUAAGAGUUGUUGUGUCAUCACAGACAUAGGUCCUUUGCUAGGGACAUAAAUCGUUGGUGUCUUCUGUACCAACCUCCGAUACCUUAUUCAUAAUUUCCAGGCCUUAAUGACUCCCUAGGAGUAUGUUUCACAAUACAGGAUUUGCUUCCAAUGCCUGAUCAUGAGACUUCCUUUCCCCCAUGAUUCUGAGAAGGAUUCUAUAGGUGUGCCCACAUUAGUAUUUUGACUUAGAUGAGGAGUGUGUUUAUUAAAUGAAUCUCACAAUUGUCCCCAUUUGUUGUGUAGGGGCAACACGGGCUGGCUGCUGCCUAAGGGAUGGGGAGGCAGAAGCUGAGCACAAUAGUACAGCCAGCAGGGCUGGCUCGCCAGGCAGGACCCAGUCCCAGAGUACCUGGGUGGGCAGGACAGACCAUGGCAUUGUGGCCAGGUUCAACCAAGAGUCAAGACUGCCCAGUAAGUUUGUGGUGAUAACACAGAUCACAGGUGAAGCCAGGAAAUCAAUCCACAGGCCAGGAUCAGGAUCAGAUCCAGUGACUGCUGGAUGGGUCCAUGGUGACAAGGAAGGUCUGAGGUCAAGGCAGGAAGUGAGUCCACAGGUUGGAAUCUGGAUCAGCUGGGAUCGCAGCCAGACACAGGCAUGGUGGUGGCUGAGCUAGAGAUUGGGUCUCCUCCAUUAUGGCUCAGACAGGGACUGAAGGCCCAGGGCUGAUCUUAAAUGGACUCCUGGGCCUAAGGGCAAGGUGGCUGGAGGCCCCAGGAAAGGCUGGUCAGGGCCAUUAAGGCCUCUAAGUGCCUUCUGUGCCCUGACACACUUUAAUUCACACUGUAGAAUGGUCUUGGAACACGAGCUGAAUUUCUUUUGGUUAAACUGGAAGGAGCGCACCUAAUAUAUGCCAGCUGUUAAUAGAUGUUCAGUCUAUAAGACCAGAUAGAGAUACAAAGUAAAAUCCCUGAAACACAUAGUGUGGACUGAAACAUCAGCACUGUUUUGUUCUUCAGAUCUGCUUCUAUCAUGUUGCACUACUGUAGACAUUGCCUAUAGGUACUUGAACAACUCAGCAACUCAUUAGUGCAACACUGGGUGAAGAUCUUCUAGAAAUAAAAUAAAAGAUUAUAGCAGAAUCUAUGACUGACAGCUGUAAGUCUUUUCAAGAUCUUCCGAAGUAAUCUCUUCUAGAGAUGUCUAAUCUCUUCUAGGGUAUGUAAACACUCUAGUAAUUGUAGUCUGAGGAAAAAAAAAUGUUUUUGCACUUCUUGCCUCUACCCUUAAACAAGGGUUUGCUAGAAGCAAUUUUGCUGAAGAGAAUCUGGGGGUCUUGGUGAAAAACAAGUUGGACAUAAGCCAGCAGUAGGCUCUUAUGUUGAAGAAGGCCAACUGCAUUAAGAAGAAUGUAGCCAGCAGAUUUACAUAAAUUUAAUUAAUUGGAAUAAAUGGAAUCAAUGAGUAGUAUCAUAUAAUAGGGAACUCAGGUCAUGAAAAGGCUAUGCUAUCUGCCGCUGCUGACAUUCAAUAGCUACUUUUCUCUUAUGUAGAAUAUGAGCUGAGUAUUAGGCCAACCCUGAAGUUUUCUUUUUGUUUAGAAAGUGGCUUCACGGCUUUCUGGGCAGCUGUGGAUGAAGAAUUUCAUCUUUCAGUGUCCCUGAAGAAGUAAUACAACAUAGUGGCUUCAUGGCCUAUAUAAGUGAGAUAAAAAGAACAGAAUUAGAUCUUAUAACACAUAAUCACCUUAAGUAUUUAGUUACUAUCAAAUAUGUGUGUAUUGCUAAAGGGAGGGGAUUUCUGCUCAUUUGUUAAAGAGAGAAUGAAUGAAUGACUCUAUUGUUAAUUAGAAUCAGAUUGCAAAAAGUAUUUGCAUUUGAAUAAAGAAACUUCAGAUUUAAAAGUCACUGUUCAGUCUUGCCUACCGUUGUGUGCA